AUAAAGCUAGCAUACCGAAGUUA
RNAcentral lists this microRNA (23 nucleotides) under Aedes aegypti (yellow fever mosquito). Its description in RNAcentral is "Aae-Mir-9-P10b_3p* (star (passenger))". Lineage: Eukaryota; Metazoa; Arthropoda; Insecta; Diptera; Culicidae. RNAcentral also lists the same sequence under 1 other name. The record is from RNAcentral.